GAUGAAGAACGCAGCGAAAUGCGAUAAGUAAUGUGAAUUGCAGAAUUCAGUGAAUCAUCGAAUCUUUGAACGCACAUUGCGCCCGCCAGCAUUCUGGCGGGCAUGCCUGUUCGAGCGUCAUUUCAACCCUCGAGCCCCCCCGGGGGCCUCGGUGUUGGGGGACGGCACACCAGCCGCCCCCGAAAUGCAGUGGCGACCCCGCCGCAGCCUCCCCUGCGUAGUAGCACACACCUCGCACCGGAGCGCGGAGGCGGUCACGCCGUAUAACGCCCAACUUUCUUAGAGUUGACCUCGGAUCAGGUAGGAAUACCCGCUGAACUUAAGCAUAUCAAUAAGCGGAGGA
Molecule: unclassified non-coding RNA, 343 nt
Filed under: soil metagenome
Description: partial contains 5.8S ribosomal RNA, internal transcribed spacer 2, and large subunit ribosomal RNA
Rfam family: 5.8S ribosomal RNA (bases 1-120)
Source: RNAcentral